CUAUGGGCGGCUGCAGUGAGGAAUAUUGCACAAUGGAGGAAACUCUGAUGCAGCAACGCCGCGUGGAGGAUGACGCAUUUCGGUGUGUAAACUCCUUUUAUAUGUCAAGAAAAUGACGGUAGCAUAUGAAUAAGCACCGGCUAACUCCGUGCCAGCAGCCGCGGUAAUACGGAGGGUGCAAGCGUUACUCGGAAUCACUGGGCGUAAAGGACGCGUAGGCGGGAUAUCAAGUCAGGUGUGAAAUCCUACAGCUUAACUGUAGAACUGCACUUGAAACUGGUAACCUAGAGUAUGGGAGGGGGAGAUGGAAUUAGUGGUGUAGGGGUAAAAUCCGUAGAUAUCACUAGGAAUACCUAAAGCGAAGGCGAUCUCCUGGAACAUAACUGACGCUAAGGCGUGAAAGCGUGGGGAGCAAACAGGAUUAGAUACCCGGGUAGUC
This 439-nucleotide ribosomal RNA is filed under the name uncultured bacterium. RNAcentral describes it as "partial 16S ribosomal RNA". It matches the Rfam family "Bacterial small subunit ribosomal RNA", at positions 339 to 795 of the family's 1533-position model. The record is from RNAcentral.